This 1089-nucleotide long non-coding RNA is filed under the name Sorghum bicolor (sorghum). Its description in RNAcentral is "long non-coding RNA (SBIC_LNC011252)". The record is from RNAcentral. Lineage: Eukaryota; Viridiplantae; Streptophyta; Magnoliopsida; Poales; Poaceae.
AAGAAUCCAUAAUCCAGCAAUACAUCUCCAAUAUUUUGUUGCUAGAUUGUGGCACAAAUAUUUACCCACUAUGCCAUGACAAUUGACAAACAUAAUGUGUAGAUGUGCAUUACACAACAAAUUACACCUCCAGGAAAUUUCUUCACUAGUUUUUUAGCAACUGGACGUGUACCCUUCGCUCUCUUUUUCCCCAAUACAGUUUGCUCCUUUGCUGCCUUGCUGAGAUGAAGCAAAAGUGGUUUUUUUUCUAACAAAUAUUCGAAACAGGCAAACUUACAAAAACUUUCGACUUUAAAUUUCCAAUCCUGACCUGAUGCAAAUAUUCUUUCAUAGGAAAAUCUCAUAUGCACAGUGACGAGCAGGAAGAAGAAAAAUUAAUCAGUAAUGUUCACCAAAUCGCCUCAAUGGCCUUGCCGAUAAUCGCCAGCUUGUCACCGAGAGCUGCUGGGUCAUCCCCUGGCUGAGAUCAUAUAUGUGCAGCUUCACCGGGUACCCAUCUUGCACACAAUCACUCAAAUCAUCAUCUGCUCAGUUCAGAUGCUUGCGAGAAAGAAUGGCAGAAUCAAAAUUCAGCCCCCUACUACCUCUGCCAUCUUCUCCACCCGAGUUCUUGCUUGACUUUUUUCCUUCCAAUUCUCUAUGAAGUUGAUACUGACAAAGCUGAAUUUAGGCCCUGUUUAGCUUCCUACCGAAAAAAUUUUCAUCCAUCCCAUCGAAUCUUUGGACACAUGCAUGAAACAUUAAAUGUAGAUAAAAAAAUAAACUAAUUACACAGUUUGGUUGAAAAUCACGAGACGAAUCUUUUAAGCCUAGUUAGUCCAUGAUUAGCCUUAAGUGCUACAGUAACCCACAUAUGCUAAUGACAGAUUAAUUAUACUUAAUAGAUUCGUCUUGCAGUUUCCUGACGAGUUAUGUAAUUUAUUUUUUUAUUAGUUUCUAAAAACCCCUUCCGACAUCCUUACGACAUAUCCGAUGUGACACCCAAAAAAUUUUCAUCUACAAUCUAAACAGGCCCUUAUGCCAAACUCUUACCCCAGAGCUAAGAGCCUAAGGUUUUCCCCAAAUUCUACCAGCUCAAAUCCCCAUUCA